UCGGAAGGUGCGGCUGGAUCACCUCCUUUCUAAGGAAAAUAAAUCUUCACACUAUUUUAAUUAUAUAUAUGGGGGUAUAGCUCAGUUGGGAGAGCGCCUGCCUUGCAAGCAGGAGGUCAGGAGUUCGAAUCUCCUUAUCUCCACCAAGAUCACAUAAGUGGUCAAAAGCUUCUUGAAAAAGAAGAGAACCAUAACAACUUAAAAACUAAUCAAAAUUUCUUAAACAAAACAAUUAAACUGGAAAUAAACAGAAAUGUUUAUUAACAAAGGUCAAGUUAAAAAGAGCACUAGGUGAAUGCCUAGGCACCAAGAGGCGACGAAGGACGUGACAAGCUGCGAAAAGCUACGGAGAGGAGCAAAUAUCCAUUGACCCGUAG
Molecule: unclassified non-coding RNA, 377 nt
Filed under: Peptoniphilus asaccharolyticus
Lineage: Bacteria; Bacillati; Bacillota; Tissierellia; Tissierellales; Peptoniphilaceae
Description: partial contains 16S ribosomal RNA, 16S-23S ribosomal RNA intergenic spacer, and 23S ribosomal RNA
Rfam family: Bacterial large subunit ribosomal RNA (bases 269-377)
Source: RNAcentral